RNAcentral lists this ribosomal RNA (351 nucleotides) under uncultured bacterium. RNAcentral's name for it is "bacterial SSU rRNA". It matches the Rfam family "Bacterial small subunit ribosomal RNA", at positions 60 to 391 of the family's 1533-position model. The record is from RNAcentral.
AGUCGAACGAAGCAUUUAGAACAGAUUACUUCGGUUUGAAGUUCUUUAUGACUGAGUGGCGGACGGGUGAGUAACGCGUGGGUAACCUGCCUUGUACUGGGGGAUAGCAGCUGGAAACGGCUGGUAAUACCGCAUAAGCGCACAAUGUUGCAUGACAUGGUGUGAAAAACUCCGGUGGUAUAAGAUGGACCCGCGUCUGAUUAGCUAGUUGGUGAGAUAACAGCCCACCAAGGCGACGAUCAGUAGCCGACCUGAGAGGGUGACCGGCCACAUUGGGACUGAGACACGGCCCAGACUCCUACGGGAGGCAGCAGUGGGGAAUAUUGCACAAUGGAGGAAACUCUGAUGCAG